GCCCCGGUGGCUCAGCGGAGAGAGCGCCCGUCUACGAAGCGGGAGAUCCCAGGUUCGAGUCCUGGUCGGGGCA
RNAcentral lists this transfer RNA (73 nucleotides) under Micromonospora sp. A200. Its description in RNAcentral is "tRNA-Arg". It matches the Rfam family "tRNA". Rfam says of the family: Transfer RNA (tRNA) molecules are approximately 80 nucleotides in length. The record is from RNAcentral. Lineage: Bacteria; Bacillati; Actinomycetota; Actinomycetes; Micromonosporales; Micromonosporaceae.